CAACAUUUCACACAACCUUUCUAAAGCGAGAACACUAAGCUAAAACGCAGCAUGCUAGGUGAAGUUGUUCCUUCCACAGUCAACCCCAAGCUUACCCAAUUGGCACAGCUGGAGCUGAGAAUGCGCAGCAGUCUAUCAAUAAUAUCUGCUGGAGACUGGAUCGCGUGCAACCUGUCCUAACCUCACCAUCCAAUCCAUCUGCUAACCGUUUCUAAAGCACACUGCCCUGUGCUUGAACUAAUGCAUAAAAAUAGUAAGCCUGGAACCAUGCUGAACGUGAUGUUGAAUACAGAAAUGCACCCCCCUUGACUUCAACAAGGUUGAACUGGGCUGAUAGCACGUGCAGUAGAGGACAGAAUGGAGAUGAAGGGGCUCCCCAUUUGACCCCAAUGUGUGAUGGACACAACUGGGCUGCAGCCGUUUUCUGUCUCUGUUGAACUUUCAAACUAUCCACAGUAAAAGAGAUUAACCUUU
Long non-coding RNA from Notothenia coriiceps (black rockcod), 474 nucleotides. RefSeq lists it as uncharacterized. The transcript is spliced from 4 exons. The record is from RefSeq and is a predicted model, not a curated record. Lineage: Eukaryota; Metazoa; Chordata; Actinopteri; Perciformes; Nototheniidae.